RNAcentral lists this transfer RNA (72 nucleotides) under Ictidomys tridecemlineatus (thirteen-lined ground squirrel). Its description in RNAcentral is "Spermophilus tridecemlineatus (thirteen-lined ground squirrel) tRNA". It matches the Rfam family "tRNA". From Rfam's summary of the family: Transfer RNA (tRNA) molecules are approximately 80 nucleotides in length. Lineage: Eukaryota; Metazoa; Chordata; Mammalia; Rodentia; Sciuridae. The record is from Rfam by way of RNAcentral.
CGUGCUGUAGCUCAGUGGUAGAGUGCUCACCUUUCAUGUGUGAGGCCCAGGGUUCCAUCCUCAGCACCACAU